UACGAAGGGGGCUAGCGUUGCUCGGAAUCACUGGGCGUAAAGCGCACGUAGGCGGCUUUUUAAGUCAGGGGUGAAAUCCUGGAGCUCAACUCCAGAACUGCCUUUGAUACUGAGAAGCUUGAGUCCGGGAGAGGUGAGUGGAACUGCGAGUGUAGAGGUGAAAUUCGUAGAUAUUCGCAAGAACACCAGUGGCGAAGGCGGCUCUCUGGACCAGCACUGACACUGAGGCACGAAAGCGUGGGGAGCAAACAGG
RNAcentral lists this ribosomal RNA (253 nucleotides) under uncultured bacterium. RNAcentral describes it as "partial 16S ribosomal RNA". It matches the Rfam family "Bacterial small subunit ribosomal RNA", at positions 524 to 776 of the family's 1533-position model. The record is from RNAcentral.